CGUCCCGCCGGCGACCGGCGCACGGGUGAGUAACACGUAUGCAACCUGGCCGCCACAGGGGGAUAACCCGCGGAAACGCGGCCUAAUACCCCGUGACGCCACCGGAGGGCAUCCUCCGGUGGCCAAAGGAGCGAUCCGGUGGCGGAUGGGCAUGCGGCGCAUUAGCUAGUCGGCGGGGUAACGGCCCACCGAGGCGACGAUGCGUAGGGGUUCUGAGAGGAAGGCCCCCCACACUGGUACUGAGACACGGACCAGACUCCUACGGGAGGCAGCAG
Molecule: ribosomal RNA, 275 nt
Filed under: uncultured bacterium
Lineage: Bacteria
Description: partial 16S ribosomal RNA
Rfam family: Bacterial small subunit ribosomal RNA
Source: RNAcentral